AACUCAAAUUUAUAAUCUGGCACCUUCGGUGUCCGAGUUGUAAUCUCUAGAAGUGUUUUCCGCGUUGGACCGCACACAAGUCUGUUGGAAUACAGCGGCAUAGUGGUGAGACCCCCGUAUAUGGUGCGGACGCCCAACGCUUUGUGAUACACUUUCGAAGAGUCGAGUUGUUUGGGAAUGCAGCUCAAAUUGGGUGGUAAAUUCCAUCUAAAGCUAAAUAUUGGCGAGAGACCGAUAGCGAACAAGUACCGUGAGGGAAAGAUGAAAAGCACUUUGGAAAGAGAGUUAACAGUACGUGAAAUUGUUGGAAGGGAAACGCUUGAAGUCAGACUUGCUUGCCGAGCAAUCGGUUUGCAGGCCAGCAUCAGUUUUCCGGGGUGGAUAAUGGUAGAGAGAAGGUAGCAGUUUCGGCUGUGUUAUAGCUCUUUGCUGGAUACACCUUGGGGGACUGAGGAACGCAGUGUGCCUUACGGCGGAUUUCUCGAGAUCUUCACACUUAGGAUGCUGGUGGAAUGGCUUUAAACGAC
RNAcentral lists this ribosomal RNA (527 nucleotides) under Rhodotorula taiwanensis. RNAcentral describes it as "partial large subunit ribosomal RNA". It matches the Rfam family "Eukaryotic large subunit ribosomal RNA", at positions 104 to 648 of the family's 3401-position model. The record is from RNAcentral. Lineage: Eukaryota; Fungi; Basidiomycota; Microbotryomycetes; Sporidiobolales; Sporidiobolaceae.